UGCUUGAUUAUUAAAUUGGAU
Molecule: non-coding RNA, 21 nt
Filed under: Caenorhabditis elegans
Lineage: Eukaryota; Metazoa; Nematoda; Chromadorea; Rhabditida; Rhabditidae
Source: RNAcentral